GACGAACGCUGGCGGCGUGCUUAACACAUGCAAGUCGAACGGAAAGGCCCUGCUUUUGCGGGGUGCUCGAGUGGCGAACGGGUGAGUAACACGUGAGUAACCUGCCCUUGACUUUGGGAUAACUUCAGGAAACUGGGGCUAAUACCGGAUAGGAGCUCCUGCUGCAUGGGGGGGGUUGGAAAGUUUCGGCUGUUUGGGAUGGUCUCGAGGCUUAUGCGCUUGUUGGGGGGGUAGGGGCUUACCCGGGGUUUGACGGGUAGCCGGCCUGGGAGGGUGACCGGCCACAUUGGGACUGAGAUACGGCCCAGUCUCCUACGGGAGGCAGCAGUGGGGAAUCUUGCACAAUGGGCCGACGCCUGAUGCAGCAACGCCGCGUGCGGGAUGCCGGCCUUCGGGUUGUAAACCGCUUUCGCCUGUGACGAAGCGUGCGUGACGGUAAUGGGUAAAGAAGCACCGGCUAACUACGUG
Molecule: ribosomal RNA, 468 nt
Filed under: uncultured bacterium
Lineage: Bacteria
Description: partial 16S ribosomal RNA
Rfam family: Bacterial small subunit ribosomal RNA
Source: RNAcentral